Molecule: long non-coding RNA, 1538 nt
Organism: Hirundo rustica (Barn swallow)
Lineage: Eukaryota; Metazoa; Chordata; Aves; Passeriformes; Hirundinidae
Exons: 3
Source: RefSeq, a predicted model, not a curated record
ACUCCCAGAGGCUCUGUGGGGCUGGGACACGACUCCUGGGUUCCUUCUCUCCUCAUUCCCAGGUCUCUACAUGGUGCAGGUGGUUUCCAGCUGUGACCUCCUGUCGAACGGAGAAUCCAUGGGUCCCAUGGUGCGGCUAUGAUGGGUGGGAUUUCAUCUCCUUCCAGCUGCGAUCCAGGAGCUUUGCAGUGUCUGAUGGUUCAACUGGAUCACCCAGAGGUGCUGGGAAUCCAAAGUGAUCAUGGUGGAGCAGAUGAAGCUUUACCUGGGACACACCUGUGUGAAAGAGCUCCCAAAAUACAUCAGAUAUGGUUGGGAUGCUGUGGAGCACAAAGCUGUUUCAGUUUUCCAGGAAUCUUCUCCACAGUCCUGUCUGCUCUUUUCAAGAACCUUUCGUGGAGAAGGAGAUGCAGCUUCUAUCACAAGAUGUGCCACUAACUGCAGCUUGUCUUGGCUUUCCACACCAUGUGUGCAGCACAACUCUUGCAGCAAAGCAAGAUAAAUGUAUGGAGAACUUUACAACUUGUUCUUUUUUUUCCUUGUGGACCGGGGACUUGUGCCAUUGGCCAUUUUCAUCCCCGACGCCUCAUGAAAUGAGAAGCCUGAGCUUGUGGAACUGCCUGAAAGAUGCCCUGUUCCUCUGCAGGGACACUCAGUCUGAAACAGGAGUCUGAGCUCUCUCUGGGGAAGCCUUCUACGAGCUGGAAUUUGUUUCACGCUGGGAGAGAAGGAGGUGAGGGAGAAUGAUGGGUGCUGUGUGGCAGGAGGCAAUUUCUGUGAUGGCCCCUGUCAGUUGAUUCUAUUUCAGCAGCAGCAACAGGGCUGUGUUUGAGUGCUGCAGAUGUUUGCCUGUGUGGCUUUAAUUCUCCUCUACUUUGUGCUCCGGGACUUGUGAACAUUUGGGGAUCUGCUACUCAUGAUGCCAGAGUUUCCUGUCAUGAAAGCACUCUGGAUGGCACUGAUCAAAAAAGGCAAUUGCAGUUUUAUGGAUAGAAUUCAAGUGGCAACCAGAAGAGGGGUAAGGGCAGUCAUGAUCUACAAUUCCCAAGUGUGAAAAGUGCAUAUUAUAUGGCUCUACGCAAGAUAUUUACUAUAUGUGUUAUGUUGUGCUAAUUGUUAAUGUGGUAUUAAUAUUUUGAUAGUAUGGUAAAUGUAGUUUUGUAGUUAAAAUGUAGUUUUUAUGUACCAACCACAGGAAAAUAUAAAUCUUUCAAAGAAGAAAGAAUUUACUACUUUCUUAUCAGAAGAGACCAACUUCUCCUGCUUUUCUCAGCCUAGUGGACGCCAUAGAGAUUAAAGGAAAAAAGUGAUACUAACCAGAGACAAUUCUUAGUUAGAAUGGAAUUUAUGCAUUAUGUAUAAAUUGUAUGAAUAUUCAACAGGCUAUUGCUUUUAAGAGAUAAUUUUUUGUUAACAGGGGUCCUUCUUCAGAGCUUGUAGCUCGGGAGAGGCACCCAGACGUCUGUAACUUUGUUUUUAUUGUCUUGUAUUGUCCUAACUCUAAAACUGUUCAAUUUUUUUACUCUAAUUCUAUUUUU